Molecule: ribosomal RNA, 468 nt
Filed under: uncultured bacterium
Lineage: Bacteria
Description: partial 16S ribosomal RNA
Rfam family: Bacterial small subunit ribosomal RNA
Source: RNAcentral
GACGAACGCUGGCGGCGUGCUUAACACAUGCAAGUCGAACGGAAAGGCCCUGCGGUUGUGGGGUGCCGGAGUGGCGAACGGGUGAGGAAGACGUGAGUAACCUGCCCUUGACUUUGGGAUAACUUCAGGAAACUGAGGCUAAUACAGGACAGGAGCUACCGCAGCAGGGCGGGGGUUGGAAAGUUUCGGCGGUCGGGGAUGGACUAGCGGCUGAUGAGCUUGUUGGUGGGGGAGUGGCUGACCAAGUAGUGGAAUGGUAGCCGGCCUGAGAGGGUGACCGGCCUCCUUGCGCCUGCGCUACGGCCCAGUCCCCUAUGGGAGGCAGCAGUGGGGAAUAUUGCACAGUGGGAGGAAGCCUGUUGCGGCAGCGCCGCGUGCGGGAUGACGUCCUUUGGGUUGUAAACCGCUUUCGCCUGAGACGAAGCGUGAGUGACGGUACUGGAUAAAGAAGCACCGGCUAACUACGUG